UUGAAAGUAAAAUGUAGUUGGUUGAGCUGGUCUCUCUGAGGCAAGUGCUUACCUUCUGCGCUUUCUUACCUUUCCACCUGUGCACAUUUGUAGACCGUGAAUAGACUCUCGCCUUAACAAGCGGAUUUGAAGCUUGCACGCAAGUGCUUGCUUCUACAUAUUCUCAGGUCUAUGUUUCAUACACACUUUAUAACACAUUGAAUGUUUGUUUACUGGUUGUAACAGACCUCUAAAUAAUAUA
Molecule: unclassified non-coding RNA, 241 nt
Filed under: uncultured Athelia
Lineage: Eukaryota; Fungi; Basidiomycota; Agaricomycetes; Corticiales; Corticiaceae
Description: sequence contains ITS1
Source: RNAcentral